AACCACUAUACGAUCACGGCGAGCUACCAGGGCCAUGCCCCGUUAGGGAGACGUAGGGAUCUUAAAUGAAACCUACAGUGACGUGGAGUAGCGUUCAAGCAGAGAUAUCUUAGUUUAUGUUUUGUCUCUCACAUGACAUGUAACGCAAGUAAUCAUAAUAUUAUCUGUCCAAGUCUUUGAUGAUUCUCCAGAGCUGUGAAUAAUGAAUCGUAAACUUAACCCUAUACUCUGCUGCCAGUGGACGUCUGGCAGGUCAGAGACUGAUAGAUCCAUCCUCUGGAGUUGGGGGAACCCAAUAUGUUGCCCCUGGAUGAUAUAAACAAGGAGAGGUUGACCGUCACCCUCAUGGAUGCUAAUCAUUGUCCAGGGGAGGGCAUGUUCCUAUUCCAAGGAUACUUCGGAACCAUACUCUACACUAGCAGAACACUGUAUUCCACUGUACCACACAAUACUCUACAGGGGUCAGUACUAACUCUAUUCUACUACACCAUACACAAUACACUGUUGAGUCUCUCUCUAGUCUUAACUAGUCAACAAUGGUAUUUAGCCACAUUUUCUACAUCAAGCAGGCCUUCACUGUGACGUGGCUAAGGUAGCUAAAUUCCAAAGUCUAACGUUACACUUUGAUGCCAGUUAGAUUACAGUUAGUGCUUGUGUGUCUGUGGGAGAUAUUGGGUUAUUCAAGCAUGCAGUGACGUGGACAGGCAGAGUUGACUUUUUGGCUUUCCGCUCAAGGGGUCUCCACAAGCCCUGGUAACUCGCCAUGAUCGUACAGUGGUUAGUGCUCUGUGUUGUGGCCGCAGAAUCCGGGUCACGCCAAUUUGAUACACAAUGUUACGGCAAAAAUUCCCCUUUUGAAUGACUCAAAGUACUAACUGUGUAAUCUAAAAUAUAAACACAACAUGUAAAGUGUUGGUCCCAUGUUUCAUGAGCUGAAAUAAAACAUCCUGGUCUACAGUCUAUGACUUAGGUGGCUGGAGUCUGACAAUUCUUUGGGCCUUCCUCUGACACCGCCUGGUAUAGAGAUCCUGGAUGUCAGGAAGCUCGGCCUCAGUGAUGUACUGGGCCAUACGCACUACCCUCUGUAGCAACUUGCAGUCGGAUGCCGAGCAGUUGCCAUACCAAGCGGUGAUGCAGCCAGUCAAAAUGCUCUCAAUGGUGCAGCUUUAGAUAUUUUUGAGGAUCUGAGGUCCAAUGCCAAAUCUUUUCAGCCUCCUGUGGGGAAAUAGGCAUUGCCGUGGCCUCUCCUGUUAACUAGACAGGUGCUUUAACCAACUAAGCCACAGCACCUCGUAGAGUGAAAUCAUUGUCUGAGCUAGAACACCCAAAAGGGCAGGAGCCUUGCUCCUAUUUAUGUAGCCUUUGGCAGCUUGAUUUUCAAGUACACCCCUUGGACAAGAUGCCUCUGUUGUAUUUUUUCCCAAAUUCCCUUUUCUAUAUUUUUUAUGGACUUUCGAGGUUUCUGUUUUUUGAGGGUUUUUUUCAGGUUUUCGGGCCACAAAAGCACACUUAAAAAACAAAAGUAAAAACCAACUAAAUUGGAUGUUCUAAGUCCACACAACAAUGCUUGAACCACAUCAGGAGACCGCGGCAACACUUACAACAUUUACAUUUACAUUUUUAGUCAUUUAGCAGACGCUCCUAUCCAGAGCGACUUACAGUAGUGAAUACAUACAUUUCAUUUCAU
RNAcentral lists this long non-coding RNA (1687 nucleotides) under Salmo salar (Atlantic salmon). RNAcentral describes it as "lncRNA (ENSSSAG00000085150.1)". The record is from RNAcentral. Lineage: Eukaryota; Metazoa; Chordata; Actinopteri; Salmoniformes; Salmonidae.